Molecule: unclassified non-coding RNA, 372 nt
Filed under: fungal sp.
Lineage: Eukaryota; Fungi
Description: partial internal transcribed spacer region
Rfam family: Eukaryotic small subunit ribosomal RNA (bases 1-46)
Source: RNAcentral
AAGUCGUAACAAGGUUUCCGUAGGUGAACCUGCGGAAGGAUCAUUAACACGUAUCCACGUAAACCAAUGUGAACUGUUUUCGCCCUCCCUUUGCUGCAAAUGAGUUGGAAUUAAUAAUAGCGAUGAUGAGGAGUCUUCACGGACUCAACUAUUAUUUAACACUUCGGCUUGCCGAGACAACUGGAUUGUAGUAAAGGCAUAUUCUUAAAGCUUUGAUUGCCAUCAUAAUCGUGGCUUUAGGAAACUAUAUUUACCAUUUUCACCCCUUUUGCUAGUUGACUUUUUUAUGUUGUUCUUUACGCAAGUAAGGUUCACACGUUUAUUACUUGAACGUUAAAAAUACAACUCUUAGCAAUGGAUGUCUAGGUUCUC